CGGCGGACGGGUGAGUAAUGCCUAGGAAUCUGCCUGGUAGUGGGGGACAACGUUUCGAAAGGAACGCUAAUACCGCAUACGUCCUACGGGAGAAAGCAGGGGACCUUCGGGCCUUGCGCUAUCAGAUGAGCCUAGGUCGGAUUAGCUAGUUGGUGAGGUAAUGGCUCACCAAGGCGACGAUCCGUAACUGGUCUGAGAGGAUGAUCAGUCACACUGGAACUGAGACACGGUCCAGACUCCUACGGGAGGGCAGCAGCC
RNAcentral lists this ribosomal RNA (258 nucleotides) under uncultured Pseudomonas sp. RNAcentral describes it as "partial 16S ribosomal RNA". It matches the Rfam family "Bacterial small subunit ribosomal RNA", at positions 96 to 355 of the family's 1533-position model. The record is from RNAcentral. Lineage: Bacteria; Pseudomonadati; Pseudomonadota; Gammaproteobacteria; Pseudomonadales; Pseudomonadaceae.